GACCUCCCAGGGUCGCAUCUGGGGAAUAGCUAGUAUUCUGCCAGCUUCGGAGAUGGGAGGGGAAACAAGCCUGUCAGAGACCCAUUCCAUUCUAGUUUGCUCAGUAGCUGGUGAUUGGAAAAUAACUCUGCGACAGUG
Echinops telfairi (small Madagascar hedgehog) is the source of this 138-nucleotide small nucleolar RNA. The record is from RefSeq and is a predicted model, not a curated record. NCBI's taxonomy places the organism in Eukaryota, Metazoa, Chordata, Mammalia, Afrosoricida, Tenrecidae.